UAUCUCUGUAGAGUCUGCAUAUCAAUAAGCGGAGGAAAAGAAACUAACUAGGAUUCCCUCAGUAACGGCGAGUGAAGCGGGAAGAGCUCAAAUUUGAAAUCUUCAAGGUUCUACCUUGACGAAUUGUAGUUUAAAGAAGUGUUUUCUGUUGGAGUUUUGGUAAAAGUUCUUUGGAAUAGGACAGUCAUAGAGGGUGAGAAUCCCGUAUUUGACCAUUACUUCCAGCGUUGUGAUACACUUUCAAAGAGUCGGAUUGUUUGGGAAUGCAGUCCAAAAUGGGUGGUAAAUUUCAUCUAAAGCUAAAUAUUGGCGAGAGACCGAUAGCGAACAAGUACCGUGAGGGAAAGAUGAAAAGAACUUUGAAAAGAGAGUUAAACAGUACGUGAAAUUGUCAAAAGGGAAGCGUUUGACACCAGUGUUGUUUUCUCGAAAAUCAAUUAAAAAAGGCAGGAUUUUGUGUUGUAUUGACUUUAUCAGCUUUCUGCACUCUUUUCUUGCUUUUUUUAAUGCACUUUUCGUUUAACAAGUCAACAUCAAUUUCUUUUGUUGUAAAAGAGUCAUUGGAAGGUGGCUUUCACUUCGGUGAAAGUGUUUAUAGCCUUUGGCUUCUGCAAUCGGAGAGAUUGAGGUCUGCAGCGUAGAUCCUUCGGGGCUAGAUACGUAGAUGCUAAGUUAUAGUUUUUUAUAGACAACUUGUUGACUAUAAUUAAUCAUGUAGCUUACUCGUUUGCGCUAUUUUACCUACGCUUAGGAUGUUGAAGAUGUAGCACAUCAU
RNAcentral lists this ribosomal RNA (775 nucleotides) under uncultured Neocallimastigales. RNAcentral describes it as "partial large subunit ribosomal RNA". It matches the Rfam family "Eukaryotic large subunit ribosomal RNA", at positions 24 to 635 of the family's 3401-position model. The record is from RNAcentral. Lineage: Eukaryota; Fungi; Neocallimastigomycota; Neocallimastigomycetes; Neocallimastigales.